This 253-nucleotide ribosomal RNA is filed under the name uncultured bacterium. RNAcentral's name for it is "partial 16S ribosomal RNA". It matches the Rfam family "Bacterial small subunit ribosomal RNA", at positions 524 to 776 of the family's 1533-position model. The record is from RNAcentral.
UACGUAGGGUGCAAGCGUUGUCCGGAAUUAUUGGGCGUAAAGAGCUCGUAGGCGGCCUGUUACGUCUGCUGUGAAAUCCCGGGGCUUAACCCCGGGCGUGCAGUGGAUACGGGCAGGCUGGAGGCAGGCAGGGGAGAACGGAAUUCCCGGUGUAGCGGUGAAAUGCGCAGAUAUCGGGAGGAACACCGGUGGCGAAGGCGGUUCUCUGGGCCGUUACUGACGCUGAGAAGCGAAAGCAUGGGGAGCGAACAGG